This 104-nucleotide transfer RNA is filed under the name Phytophthora infestans T30-4. RNAcentral's name for it is "tRNA-Tyr for anticodon GUA". It matches the Rfam family "tRNA". Rfam says of the family: Transfer RNA (tRNA) molecules are approximately 80 nucleotides in length. Their secondary structure includes four short double-helical elements and three loops (D, anti-codon, and T loops). Lineage: Eukaryota; Oomycota; Peronosporomycetes; Peronosporales; Peronosporaceae. The record is from Rfam by way of RNAcentral.
CCGAGUGUAGCUCAGUUGGUAGAGCGAUUGACUGUAGUGUUCUAUACUGUGUUUCAGUAUUCUAUAAAGGCAAUUGGUCGCUGGUUCGAUUCCGGCCACUCGGA